Molecule: ribosomal RNA, 322 nt
Filed under: Bacillus sp. (in: firmicutes)
Lineage: Bacteria; Bacillati; Bacillota; Bacilli; Caryophanales; Bacillaceae
Description: bacterial SSU rRNA
Rfam family: Bacterial small subunit ribosomal RNA
Source: RNAcentral
UUGGGCGUAAGCGCGCGCAGGCGGUUUCUUAAGUCUGAUGUGAAAGCCCACGGCUCAACCGUGGAGGGUCAUUGGAAACUGGGGAACUUGAGUGCAGAAGAGAAAAGCGGAAUUCCACGUGUAGCGGUGAAAUGCGUAGAGAUGUGGAGGAACACCAGUGGCGAAGGCGGCUUUUUGGUCUGUAACUGACGCUGAGGCGCGAAAGCGUGGGGAGCAAACAGGAUUAGAUACCCUGGUAGUCCACGCCGUAAACGAUGAGUGCUAAGUGUUAGAGGGUUUCCGCCCUUUAAUGCUGCAGCUAACGCAUUAAGCACUCCGCCUG